Molecule: transfer RNA, 61 nt
Filed under: Pseudorhaetus sinicus
Lineage: Eukaryota; Metazoa; Arthropoda; Insecta; Coleoptera; Lucanidae
Description: tRNA-Cys
Source: RNAcentral
AGCUUUAUAGUCAAAAAUGAUAUCAAAUUGCAAAUUUGAAGGAGGGAUUUCCCUAAGGCUU